This 927-nucleotide long non-coding RNA is filed under the name Sinocyclocheilus grahami. Its description in RNAcentral is "lncRNA (ENSSGRG00000033008.1)". The record is from RNAcentral. Lineage: Eukaryota; Metazoa; Chordata; Actinopteri; Cypriniformes; Cyprinidae.
AGAAAAGCCAGGUGUAGUUGAUCAUCCGAAGAGAAAUCCAGAAGAUAAAAACUAUAAUUAUUUGGAUCCUAAGGGUAGUUCGCGGGAGGUUGUGAUCAUUUAUAUUUUCAGAAGUCUGCCCUUCAUCUGUCUGUUGGCGGCGUUCUUUUACCUAAACAGGAACAACAAACUAGUCUCAUCAUCAAGACCAGGUUCAUAUGAGGAGCUGUCUGUGAUUCAGAGCCCAUCGAGCAUCACUGUGAAUGAAGGAGAAUCUGAUCAAAUCAGCUGCUGCUGGAGUAAAACAAAAGAAGAAAACAGUGAUUUUAAAGUAGCUUGGUAUAAGGAUAAGAAAAGAAUACCAGUAGAAAAGCGGCUAUAUCAAACGUCCCCAAUGAAAAACUGCUCCUUUCUGAAAAUCACAAAUAUAGUUAAAAAUGACACUGGAGAUUAUGUUUGUAAAGUGAUUCAGGACAUACCAGUUCUGCUAGAAUAUGAAGGACAAAAAACUUACCUGAAUGUCUGUAAAGGUGAACACAGCACUGAGGCAACAACUCAAAGUAAGAUUCUUCUUCCACACUCAUUCCUCUCAUUCAUAUAUGGCAUUCUUUGUCAUUUCACAUAGCAUUAAGAUUCAUGUCAUUGGAUUUAAGGGAUCUAGCCAACCCUAUUCAUUAGAAGCAGGUGUCCACAUAAUUCAGGUCAUGUUGUGGACUUUUAUGACUUCAUAUAAUAAUAUAGUAAUACAAAUUAUCUCUAAAUGAUUAGUUGUCUAAUUUUUUCUGCUGACAUCAUUACAGGCAGUGCUAGUACAUCUACCCAAAAAACUCAAAUCAAUGGGACUACCGGCCCCCCUUCACCUCCCAUCCUACCUCUAUCUCUGGCUGCUGCCAUUGGCCUGCUGACCCUCUGCUUGGCCUUCAGCGUGUGCAAGAUGAGAAACUCCUG